This 467-nucleotide ribosomal RNA is filed under the name uncultured bacterium. Its description in RNAcentral is "partial 16S ribosomal RNA". It matches the Rfam family "Bacterial small subunit ribosomal RNA", at positions 28 to 507 of the family's 1533-position model. The record is from RNAcentral.
GACGAACGCUGGCGGCGUGCUUAACACAUGCAAGUCGAACGGAAAGGCUCCAGCUUGCUGGAGUACUCGAGUGGCGAACGGGUGAGUAACACGUGGGUAAUCUGCCCUGCACUCUGGGAUAAGCCUGGGUAACUGGGUCUAAUACUGGAUAUGACCUUUCUCCUUAUUGGGUUUGGUGGAAAUUUUUUCGGUGUAGGAUGAGCCCGCGGCCUUUCAGCUUGUUGGUGGGGUGAUGGCCUACCAAGGCGACGACGGGUAGCCGGCCUGAGAGGGUGAUCGGCCACAUUGGGACUGAGAUACGGCCCAGACUCCUACGGGAGGCAGCAGUGGGGAAUAUUGCACAAUGGGCGGAAGCCUGAUGCAGCGACGCCGCGUGAGGGAUGACGGCCUUCGGGUUGUAAACCUCUUUCAGCAGGGACGAAGCGUAAGUGACGGUACCUGCAGAAGAAGCACCGGCUAACUACGUG